RNAcentral lists this ribosomal RNA (420 nucleotides) under bacterium. Its description in RNAcentral is "partial 16S ribosomal RNA". It matches the Rfam family "Bacterial small subunit ribosomal RNA", at positions 355 to 776 of the family's 1533-position model. The record is from RNAcentral.
UGGGGGAUAUUGCACAAUGGGCGAAAGCCUGAUGCAGCGACGCCGCGUGGGGGAUGAAGGCUUUCGGGUUGUAAACCUCUUUCGCUAUCGAACAAGGCCCGCUUAGGGUGGGUUGAGGGUAGGUGGAGAAGAAGCGCCGGCUAACUACGUGCCAGCAGCCGCGGUAAUACGUAGGGCGCGAGCGUUGUCCGGAAGUAUUGGGCGUAACGGGCUUGUAGGCGGCUUGUUGCGCCGGCUGUGAAAACGCGGGGCUUAACUUCGCGCGUGCAGUGGGUACGGGCCGGCUUGAGUGUGGUAGGGGUGACUGGAAUUCCAGGUGUAGCGGUGGAAUGCGCAGAUAUCUGGAGGAACACCGAUGGCGAAGGCAGGUCACUGGGCCAUUACUGACGCUGAGGAGCGAAAGCAUGGGUAGCGAACAGG